This 2397-nucleotide long non-coding RNA is filed under the name Sus scrofa (pig). RNAcentral describes it as "lncRNA (ENSSSCG00050051692.1)". Lineage: Eukaryota; Metazoa; Chordata; Mammalia; Artiodactyla; Suidae. The record is from RNAcentral.
CGGAGGACGGAUGCAGAGGGCUGGCGGCGCCUUCCGACUCCUCCGGUUCCCGGUGGGGGACGCCCCGGUGGCGGAGGAGCCACUCUGGGACCUGGGUGGCUCCCGCGGGCUGCCCAACCCCGCCCUGGACAGAGCCCCACACCGUGGACCCGCACCGGCUGCCAGGCUCUGUCUACAUCAGUCACUCACAGACUCAGCAACUGCAGCAUCGGCGCGGUCCCCAAGCUGCCAGGUACAGCUAGACACUUUGUACAGGUGGAAAGACUCCUAACCAUGUGUAGGAACGGUCCCCCUCAGCGGCUGCGGCAGGAGGAGCCUGGAGGAAGCUCACAGACUCUGCACUUUGGGAGGACUGGGCUUAGUACAAUCAGCAUAUGGUAGAGGUCUUAAGGAAAAUAAAGCAAAAAAAUGUACUUCUCUAAAAGCCCCUCUGGAGACAUGGGGUUCCUCGGGGGUGGCUGCGAGGGGCCUCUCUGGUACUUUGCGGGCUUUAGGGAUGGGGCUGGGGCACGGAGGACAGGCCCACGCACCCUCCCACCUCUGCCCCCACAGCUGCCACCCUCCAUCCCUUCCCCACACGCCCACAGGCACCGGGACACUCAGGGACUGGAACAUGUCACAGGGUAAAGGAUAAACACUCCCCAAAGUUUCUAGAAAGCCAGGAGGACCACACGCAGCCCAUUUGUCCCCCGCCAGGGACGAAAGCCAGGCCCGUGCGCUUUACCCCGGGAAGGCCUCCUCCCCCCACACCCGGCGUGGCUGGCUCACCACCCAUGGCCCUGACUGGGGGACUCUGCAACUGGGGGAAGCUUUGCAAGCCAAACCAAACAGAGCCUGAGGGCGUCAGAGCCUGCUCUGCAGGCCUCGCCCAGGGGACAAGGUCCAGCUCACAGCCUUGGUUUAAAAGGAGAGCGGAGGACGCACCCAGAAGCCGGCCUCCCCGAGCCUCCUCCCCAGUAUCCCAGCGCCCAGCGGCCUGCCCACCCCACCAGGGGCCCAGCCUCCAGCUGCCCCACACCUCCACCCCCUGGUCUGAACGCUGAGCCCGGCUCCCCCAGGGCUGGCUCCACACGGACUCCAACAUCUCUGCCACGGAACUGCAUCACAAUCACACAUCUUCAGUGGAGAGAAAAAGGCCGUGACACACAUGCUUCUCACUGCCGGAGAAAGGAGACCCGAGACACGCUUCUACUUCCUACUACAUUUCAAGCUGAUGAAACGCAGCUAAUAGCAUGUCAGAAGAAACAGCAGCAGAACCUUAAAUGCGAUGUUCGAAUAGCAAAUGCCUCCCCCCCCCAUAACCAGUUCCUAAUAGGUAAGUGCCAGGCUGGGCAAAUGGACAAGGAUAACGGGUGAAGGUGGGCAGCCUUAGACGUUUCUGGUUUAUUGGAAGUUAUCAUGCACCGAGCUUGCAUGUCUUUUUUAAAGCAUCACCAUGCAGAGCUGCUCUGUCACACUCCUGCCACUGAAAGCCAGCCCCUCUGAGUCAACGGUCUUCUGAGCUCAGCAGAUUCUGAGUCGGAGAGGUGAUUUGCAUGGAUUUUUGUGCAAUCCUAUUUACAAACCAAUUGACAAAAAAGAAAGUGUUCCAAGCCUAGAGUACAUGGUGUGACUCGGAGCUUGCCAGCAAGGCCUCAGGGGUGCUCUCGUGCUGGUCCUCACCACAGCAUCCCCACUGGGGGACCCAAGUUGCCUGGGGAGUGGUGGGGCGCAAGCAAGUUCAAGACCAAGUGUUCCCCAGCCUGAGCUGGGAUGCGAGUAUGAGCAAGUCUGGUGGAGAAUUUCACCUGACAAAUUUGUUCCAAAUACCUUGGGUUUCUCUCUUGUUUGUGUUAUUGUCGUGGCGAGGUCCACUCCCUGGUGAGCGUGGUUUGAAAACUGCUGCCAUUAUAAAAGCCCUGAGAGGAGAGCUUCUGCCAGGGUGUUUACAACUCAGGCAGUAAGAUGACUCCAGAGAAGGGCUUGGAGCAGAAGCAACACGGCCGCAAUGCCAAGAAGGCAGGAAGAUCAGAAGUGACCCAUCUUUCAGCCUCACCUUCCGCUGUGCCGACCCAGGCCUGCAGCCACCUGUACACCCUUGACUCUCAUUCCGUGACAUACAAAUGUUCCGUGGGAGUUUUAAGAGGGUGACAAAGUGACUUCACUCGUACUGUGAGAUGUUUUCUUGACGUUAAUUUAUAUUGAUUUUCCAUCAAUGUGACAGUUUUAGUAAAAAAAAAAAAAACUUCACACCAAAAUUGUCCAAAAUCGAUUUGUGAAAUACCUUAUAAUCAUAAGGUCCAAAUUCUGGCUAGAAAGACUCUGUCGAAACACCCUUCUGAAGAGACCUCUUAUUUGGUCGUUAGAAUGAUAGGUUAGCUACCCUAGGAAAAAAUAAAUGAUUCUAACAGCCAACCA